AUGAGUAAUUUUAGCGAAGAGGGUGAAAAAGGGAGAGGACGGUGAUGUGUUGAAGGAUUCGAAGCCUCAUUAAGUUGUGUUGUACGUAUCUGAUAAAACGAAGUUAAGGUUGUCGGGACUAUUUUCUUCGCAAGUUAUCUGUGAGAGGACGUCAUGCUUCACAUAUAACGCUUAAGUUAUCGAGUGGACGCCGGGCACCAUUAUCACUUCCACAAAUCCAAGCAAGACACUGUUACCUAUAUUUAACCCUCCCUAACCCUCUCUCGUUUUCCCUCCCUACCCUGUCACCCCAAAAAGAGGAAAGGGUUGUGAUUCGGUUUUUAUUCUUCUCCGCGAGUGAACUUAUCAGUGCAACUGCGAAUGAACUGUAGUGACGUGUAAAAGCAGACCGCUGGUGAUGUGAAACUGUUCGGGAUUCUGAAAACAGAAGCUUGCUGACUUCAAAACGGAGAAUUUUCCUACACGUUCUAUAUUGUACAAAGUAAUGCGAGAAUGGGGCACGAAAUUCAGCGAGAUAUAUGUAAGGGAGGACGGAAUUUGAUAAUGCAAGAUCGUUACGUCAUCGUCGGCAGCAAUGUCUGGUUUCACACCUGCACAGUAAACGAGGAGAUCGUCCCAUCGGACAAGAAUCCUACGUAGCGUCGUCUUCACCUUAGUUCAAUUCUAUCCAUAUUAUAAAUCGCGUAUCCAAAAUGCCAUAGAUAAACUACAAAUAUUUGGUUUUUGUUUUAAUAUCUCCCGUGUGUGAUUGAUAUUUUAUUUUUAUUUAUGUGUGAGUGCGCGGUUAAUGCUUUUGGAAAGAAGUGUGUAUAUAAAAUAGCUGGAGUAAUAUUCAGCAAUGUAUUAAUUAAUAAGAGAUUUCGGUUAUCAGGUUAGACCGAACCGAGCUGAACAAAAGAGAAAGAGCUACACCGAAGGAGAGAGAGAAAGACGGAACGAGAGAGAGAAAGGAAAUUUAAAAAAGAGGCUCGGAUAGAAACAAAAUGGUGGCCGUCGGGUGGCUAUGUGUAACAGAUUCGCAUCGCAGCAAUGGUGGAUCCAUUUCACCACGAAAGUGUCCAAUUAUUCUUCCUGCCCAAUGCUGUUGGAAGCAACAAGCGUUCUCAGGAUAAGAAAAUAGCCUCGGUGCAGCGGGAAAUCAUCCUUCGACUCACCGUCUCUUUCAUAGUCGGAAUUACUAGUGUAAGCCACUGUCGUCACUACACGAUGGCGGAUUUACCGGAUAUGUCACACCUCACAGCCGAGGAAAGACGCAUAAUCGAGUCUGUCAUGAUGAGGCAGAAACAAGAAGAGGAACGGGAACACGAAAUCAUGAGGCGGAAACAAGACGAAGUCCAGGUCCUGGAGGACACAAUACGGCAGAGAAGCGAGCAGCAGAAGAAAGCGGGCGUGGAGCUGGAUGCCACGUGCCACAUCUGCCUCAAGACGAAGUUCGCGGACGGAGUGGGGCAUAUCUGCAACUACUGCAACAUCCGUUGCUGUGCUCGAUGCGGCGGGAAAGUCCCCCUUCGCUCAAACAAGGUAAUAUGGGUGUGUAUUCUCUGCCGAAAGAAACAGGAACUCUUAAGUAAAACGGGUCAAUGGAUCAACAAAGGAAUGGCCGCCGGCGACGCCAUCAUGCACCAAAUAGAGGCAGAUCUUCAUCAGAGGCCAGAAGAUAUUACACCCACGCUUACGACGCCAACAGACAAGCGUCCGAAACUCGAGAGAGCUCACAGCGCUGCGGAAAAAGAGAACGUGCCGUUAGUGCGUUCAGGAAGCGUACUUACUCGUCAGUAUUCGCAACAAGACCAGGCAACGAUGUCGGGACGUCGAAUGUCAGCGAGUGACAGUGGCGUGGACGUCAUCUCACCUUCUCAGAGACAUACAGGCAGAGUCAGAGAACCAUCUGUGGAUCGUGGACAAAGUUUUCAACAGCUGUACCACGAAGAUGACCCUAGAUACUAUCGUAGUGAACUGGAGGAUCUGAUGCGGAGUCAACAACUUCAACAUCUUCACGGUUCUGGGAUUUACGGGAGUGAAAUCGUUCAUAGAGGCAGUGGUAGUGGUGGUGUAAGUGCUGGUAGUGGUUUUAGGAACGAUUCUUUAAGCUCGGAACAGUCUUCUUCCAUGGAUAUGACGUCAUGUCCGCCCACUGCAGCAAUGCGUGGAAAUAGUGGUGCGCCGAUGAUGAUGGUGCCAGGAGGAAAUAAUAAGAAACACAGGAGAAGCGGUUCUGGUAAGAAGACGCAUGCGCACCAUCCGUCUUCCACCGCUUCGCAGCAAUCUCAGCAACAAUUGGUGACUUCUUCGAGACACCAUCAGCAGUCACAGCAUCAACAAUCCUUCUCGAGCUCUGACGAUGAGCUGAGAUCGACCCCCGAGUGCACCAGCUGCGAAGAACACGACAGCGACAAGGACAUUUAUGACAGUGGUCGGCGAGACAAGCCCAGUGUUCUGGUGACUUCUCCAGGUUCACCAGACUUUCACAUUCCAGUCCGCUCAGCUUGUCCACCUAGGUUGGGCUCUUCACCUACUAACUCCAAUGUAGGAGGUCGGUUACAGGUGAAGCUGUGGUUCGAUUCAGUAGCACUUGAGCUGGUUGUGACAGUUGCCAGUGCAGCUGGGCUCACCCCUAGGAAUAAUGGUCAGCCUCGCAACCCAUAUGCCAAACUCUUCCUGCUGCCUGAUCGGAGUGAGAAGUCCAAGAGGCGGACAAAAACACUAGCCAACACCAACGACCCCAAGUGGAAUCAAAAAUUCAUCUACUCAUCAAUUCGUCGGGCCGAUUUGAAGCUUCGGGUAUUGGAAGUGACAGUGUGGGACUAUGUCCGUUAUGGGGCCAAUGAUUUUCUUGGAGAGGUCGUAAUGGAACUGAGUGAAACACCUCUUGACGAGGAACCUGUUUGGUACUACCUUAGUGCUCACGAAGAAAUACUGACACAUUCACAUGCUCGGCAUGGCGAUGUUGAUCCUACGGAUAUGGAAUUGGCCUUGACUCCAACAGAUCAUUUAUCACCUCCAAGCACUACAUCAAGGUUAUCUGAUUCGGAUACAUCUGAGUGUGAUUUGGAGGAUGGACUGAGUGGUGUUGGGGUUAGAGAACAUCGAAUUGCUGAUGGAGCAUCCAUCAGUAGUGUUGGUAGUUCAUCCAGUCCACCACCUGAAGUUGAGAUGCAAGAAAUUCGGAGAUCUCGUCGUGACAUGUCACCACAAGGAAGGAAACGAGCAGCUGUUAUGAUGAGUCGUGAUAAGAUAGUCAGUUAUCAACCUCAGAGGAAGAAUGGAGGUCAGGGUAUGAUGGGUCAACGUUCACAUUCUGCAGCUCCUACAGAUUCUCCAAGUCUCCAUUCUAGGAGCAGAUCAAAAAGCCCACGUCGGAUGGGAGACCAUCGUAGCCUGUCACCACCGGAGGGUAGAAUGCAUCUCCAUGGUCAGUCUAUUCCUUCACAUGCUUAUGUUCCACGUUUCUCCCGCUCAGCGACUGCCACACCUACUGGUUCACCCAAGAAACGCCAGCUUCCACAGAUACCACAUGCACUGCAAAAAGUACUUAAAGAGCGUGUUACUCAGGAUCUGGAGGAUCGAGCACGUAUGAUGAAGCAAAGAAUGCAGAUGAUGCAAGGGACACGAAGCUCUGGAAUGUGGCGGUGUGACCGAAACUACAGUGGUCGGAGUGAUAGUGACCUGCCUUCACGUAGUACCAUGCAUUGUGCUGAUCAGAAAAUAAGGCUUCCUCAUUCACUCUCACCUGACAAAGAUGUGAUGGGUGACUUUGGUGACAGUGAUAUUGAAAGUGUUGUAAGCAUCACGAGCAGUGCCUUCUCCACCCAGUCAGAGCGUCCACUUGGGUCCAUAGGGCUUAGUGACUAUGGUAGUAGCAGUGGAGGUGGAGGGGGACAGCACAUGGCAAUCCAUCACAGUGGGGCACAAGGGGCCAACAGUAGUUCAGGGAGCAAGAGGAACAUCUUCACCCGUAGUCUGUCAAAUGCAGAUGUUCCCCCAGAUGAGAAAGCUGAUGGCAGCCUGAGUGACACAGCUGUGGGACAUCAUCAUGGGAUGGAUGGGUCGCGACAAAAGAUGUCAGGGAGCGGUGAGAGGAGCAGGAAACCUACUGGAGGUGGUGGAAGUAUUAGUGGCCCGUUCAUAGGUUUGGGCAAGAAAAGUAGUUCUACUUCCCAGCUCUCGGCUACAGAAGGUGGCACUAGAAACCGUAGCUCCCCUAGCAGCAAGAGUAUUCAGCGGUCACAAGAAGUGGUUCCACCACUGCGAUGCCACAACCACCCCUUCGUUGCACCCUCCUCAAGCCACCGCCUACCCUCUAAACACUCCACCACUGGUGAGGUUGGUGCAAGCAGUCUCAACAGCAUUUCUAGUUCAGAGGGAUCCACGUGGUCUCCAUCACUACGUUUAGCCCAGGAUGGUGGGCAGCUGUCAGAUUUUAUAGAUGGACUGGGUCCAGGUCAACUCGUGGGUCGACAGGUUCUAGGUGCACCUGCACUUGGUGACAUUCAGCUCAGCAUGUGCUACCAGAAAGGUUACCUUGAGGUAGAAGUCAUACGAGCUCGUGGCCUUCAAGCACGGCAAGGCUCUAAAGUAUUGCCAGCACCAUAUGUGAAGGUAUACCUGGUGAGUGGGAAGAAGUGCAUAGCAAAAGCAAAGACUGCAACAGCAAGAAGAACACUGGAUCCAUUGUACCAACAGCAGUUAGCUUUCAGAGAACCAUUUCAAAGCUGCAUAUUACAGGUGACAGUGUGGGGUGAUUAUGGUCGCAUUGAGGGCAAGAAAGUCUUCAUGGGUGUUGCUCAGAUUAUGUUGGAUGACCUGAACCUCUCCAACAUUGUGAUUGGCUGGUACAAGUUGUUCGGAACGACCUCAUUGGUUAGUGGGCCUCCCUCGCUCGGCCUGUCUCGACGCAGCUCUCUGGCUAGCCUAGACUCCCUCACCAGUCACUAGCCUAGAUCAUCACUUCUAAUCUACUGAUACUUCUACUUCUACUGCAGUAAUCCACACCACCUUUCCUCACAACCAACCACCUCUACCACCAUCACCACCUACACACCUGCACUUACUAGCAAAUUGCCUGACUGAGAACUUAUCAUCCAUCGCCUGCUCUCGAUGAAGCCGUCACUUGCUAAUCAUGAGAACAUGAGUCUGGGGAGUGUGAAGCUAACAACAAUGGCAGCAAUGAUGACAACAACAAUGAAGUUAUCACCACCUCAUGAGAUAUGCUCCCUCAAGCAAGCAUCACUACUGCAAGCCUAGAUGUUGGUCUCCAGUUCUCCCCUUAUAACAAGAGAAAGCAGCUCUUGGCUUCCCAGCUGCAAACAUCAUCAUGCACUAGGAGUUGAAAGAGGCCCAUGAAUGUUGAUGGUGAACAGUAUCACUGGUACUGCUACCAUAUUGGUCAAGUCUCUUGAAAAGUUUUACUUCUGCAGUGACAUAUGUAUAGAAUAAAAAAAUUGUGCUACCAAGUUCAAUGAAAUAGGAGACAUAAGUAAAAGCCCAUCUUGUUUAAAAUUGAACAGUACUUUGUGUGUUUGUGCUUCGUGCAGUGAUAGACUUUGUACAUAUUACAUAGAGAAAAGGUCUCACAUUUAAAAACAAACAACCAAAUGAAAACAUGUGUUUAAAAUUCACGCCUUCCACAAAUUUCUGUGAAUAUAUAUAUCAUAUAACAUACAAUAACAAUUAAGAAAGAAGAAAAACUCUUUGAUUAUUAAAAAUAAAAUUUAAAAAUACCAAUUAUAUCAAUCAAACAGCUGUGAGGAUGAUGUAUGGAGAAUGAUAAAAAUUUUGAGUGCCUGAGAAAUGUGAAUUAGGUUCAGGAUGUUCAAAGAUACCUGUUAGGUUUUUGUUUGAAAAUUACAAGAAAAACUGAUAAAUUUGAACAUUCCAUUUCUUCUUUGGCAUCUAAACAUUAUUAAAGACAGCAGAGACAACUGCAUAAUCUUUAGUGCAGGAAAUUUCAGAUUAUAAGUUCAGGAUCAACAUUUAGAACUACCUUCUAAUGUUGAUGCCACAUGCAUAUAAAAACUCAUUUAUGUGGAGGUGCAAAAAUACAUUUUAAAACUUUAAAACUGAUUCGGUGUCAAAAAAUAUUACUUUUCUAAAAAAACAUAAAUGUUUGGGAAAGAAGGUUGAAGCUAAUUUUAAAAUUCCAUCAAAGAAAUCUGAAAUUUCACAUGCUUUGAAUUGUACAGUAAAGAAUGUUCAAGAAGUGGCUGCUAUAUUUGUAUAAGUUUUUCCUGUAAUUCACAAAUGAAUUCCAGAUAGAAAGUACAUAAAACUUUUUUAUUAUACCUUUCUUUGUUUAAAAUUUUGGCAAGAUGAAAAGCAAACUAAACAGCCAACAUUUCAUGGGCUGAAUAGUUAAAUUAUAAAUUACAGUAAUUAUUAUUGUUUGAUUUCUAAUCACCAAAAACCUUCUAAUUUUUUAACUGCCAGUCAUGGAAACAAUUGACAAUGGAAAAGUGUGAGUGCUCAUAAAACUAUCAUAAUUGGCCAAGUAAUAGGAACUUGCAGCUGCCUACCCCACAAACACCACCCUAAAAUGUACUCUGUAGCAGUUAGCAGUAAUAGAUGAUUUUUUAAUAUACAGUACAUACAUAAAUAUAUAAAUUGAAUCCCUACCACCACCUCAGGUUAAAGUGGAUAUGCAUACAAAAGGAAAUAGUAUUAUUAUUUCAUGGUUUCCUUUACCUUUUGUUUUUGUAUGUUUUAUUGGUAGAACAGAAUUGAUUUUUAAGAUAAAAUCUGAUGAAACCAUGUCAACUUGACUUGUAGAUAGCCUUUUCUAAGUGAGUAUGGUGUUAGGCUCAUUGCAUUAAAUACUGUGGAACUUGUGAUUUAAAUCUAUUUUGAAUUAACAUAUGAAAUAAUUAUUAUUUAAUGAAAUGGUUUUAUUUUUUGGUGUGAAAUUUUCAAUAAAGUGGCCACAAUUUUAAAUGUUAAACAUUAUGUGGAUGAGUUGUAUGUUAACACAGUGAAGACUCAAGCUGCAUUCAGUUCUAAAAGAGGUUUUCCACCCAAAAUGAUGGGCCAUUUAAUGUUACUAAAUGCUGACACUAUAUUUAGAAGUUCUUUCAAGUAAUUUAUUAUAUAAAUUAUUCUUUUGUAAGAAAUAAAUCACUGGAAAUACUGAAAAUUUAAAAUUAAGAUACCUAUAACUUUUCCUCUUGUGGGUAGAGGAUUUGUCUUUCAUAAAGGUGAAAAGAGAAUCACUCUCAACACUUUAACAAAAUGAAACUGAACCCAUGAACUUGUUACAAGUUGAAGUGAGAGAAUGACACAGAGAGAAAGAGAGAGAGAUGAACUAAACCUAAGACUUCUACCCUCAUAUCUACUGCCUUUCUUUGGUAUUGUCAGCUUUAAAAUAAUUGUAGUUAGAAAACAAAAAAGAAAGAAAAUUGGUGCUUCAGUCUUGUAUUGUAGUCUUAUAAACCAUUUAGGUAUUAAACCUUGAGACAUGCUAUUUCACCUUCAAUGAAUGAAAUCAUUCAGGCUAGCUGCCUCUGAUGUUAUAUAUUUCCUAGGGGUCAUGUAUUACUAGUUAGCACAACUGUCUGUAUGAAAAGAUCUCCUGCUACAUAUUAGGGGCAUAUAAAAAACUGUUUUGUAAGUUAUCUUAUUACAUUCAAAUUUUCUAUCAUUUUGUAUGUUUAAUCAGUGUUAUCGUAUAUCUGACUAUGAAAAAAAUGUAUAGCUUUUCCAGACUAAGAGAAAUUUAAGAAUAGAGUGUAAAUAAUAGUAUAUAUUCAGACCCAGUCACAUUGGUGUAAAAGAAAGAUUCAUAAGGGACCACUGGAUCAUUAUUAUUUCACUUUUUCUUUGGAAACUUAGAACAUUUUGUUGUCUUGGAAAUGUCUUUUGCAUAAUACCCUAUUAGGUGACUUCAUGUUUUGUACUAAUCCUAAAAUAAAUUACUGUAGAAUCUAUAUGUGCAGCAUGAAUAUAUUUCCUUUGUUAUAACAUGAAUAUAAAUCAGAGUGUAUGAUUUAACUUGCUAUAUUUCUGUGCAGUGGUUGUGUGCAAAGUCAGGGUGAAAUUUUCCGGACACCUACAAGAGUAUGAGUGGUCUAUAGUCUAGAAUCAGUCAAAGUGAAUUUAUUCUGCUGGUAUGGUCCUGUCAGUACUGGUAAGAGAACUAGAUUGUGGGACAGUUCCUAUAAUAUGGUUUUAUUACCAGUACUUGAGUUGUAUCAAGUUGUUAUCACUCACAUUCAAUACGGUAAAUACAGUUUCAUGGUGGUUGGACAAUGCCAGUAGAAUAUUGUGAUUUUGUUGGACCUUUAUAUUUGUAAUAAGUAUGAGACAGUUGUGCAAACUUGAUGCAUUGAUUCUUUAUACUGCAAUAUGGGAUGCAAUGCAACUGGAGACUCCUAGCUUCAUAUAACACUUUUGCUUGCACACAUGUAAAAAGAAAGUUAAAUGCCUAUAGCUUAUUACACCUUGCUUGUUCUUGGUGACUCUGACAAUAACGUGAAUGAUGAAUGAAUAUUAUUAAAAAGCCCAAAAAAAUAAAUAAAUAAAUAAAAAUAAAAAUAGAAAAAAGAGAAAAAAGAAAAACUGUCACAUUUUGUGCUGUGAUCAUUGUAGACAUAUUUCAUUCACCCCUGCAAGUAAAUGAAGUAACAGGUGGGACAUUUUUGUUCUUUUUUUUAGGACUCUUCAGCCACAAAACUGAAGGGGAAAGGACCAUAUCACAUACUAAAUAUAACAUAGUGAUGUAUAGUGUUUAAUUUUUUUUAAUCAUGGGAAAUGACAGGGAUGAACAGUUGACCUUUUUCCCCCAUCAGAUAAACUCUGGUAGACUCACAGUCAUAAAGAGGUUGAGGAGGAGGCAGGGUAUGAUUAUUUUCAUCAUGUGGUAAAUAUUACCUGGGUCAUUCAAUAUUUAAUAUUGUGAUGUUUUAUGUCACUCUUCAGUGUGACAGAGCAAUUACAGCCAUAUUAUGAUGAUAAAAUGCUCUUUUUUGGCAGAAAUGUACACAAUAUAAUAAAUGCCCUGUUUAUUCACAAAUUUAUCUCGAAAACUGUACAUACAAAUAAAAAAUAAUAAUCGUAUUUGAAUCUGAAUCAUACAUUAUAAUUCUCUACCCUUUUUUAUGUAAUAUUGCAUUUUCUUUGUCUAUUAUAAGAAGCCCUUCAUGCACAUUCAGUUCCCCCAUUUCACAAUAAAUCAAAUACCCUUAUCUAAAGAAUCUAUUCUGUUGGGAUUGGAUGUAAUAACAUGUUUUCAGAUAAAGAUGGAAGAAAGUGCUUCUUAUCCACUUGACUGUUUGGAGCUGCUCUCAUAUUUGGGUUUCUUCAGGGUGAGACAGUUCAUUGCACAUUAUUUGUAACUCAGACUUUGGCAGCUACAUUCAAUCCCAUCUGAGGUCAGCUACCCUGACUGGUGUUUUUCAUGGCUUUCCUGUUUCUCCAGAUAGUUGCUGUAACAAACCUCUCGAAGAAAGACCUAGUAGAUACAAUAACUAGUACAAUCUCCAGAGAACUGUUCCAUGGAUAAACGAUCCUGAUUUUAUGAAAUAUCCAUUGAAUAUGCCAGAGAUAUCCAGUUAUAUCCAUGAUAUAUUUGUAGUAUCAACAUUCCUAUCCUACAUUCAUCAUACAGGUAAUGUGAUAUUUCAUAACUCACUCAUAUCAAAACAUUUUGAAACAAUUGUUUACAAACAAGUCAUGAACAAAUUGUCAUAAUGACAAGCUUCAUAACUUGUACUCUUAACAACAUUAUUAUUAUUAUUAUUAUUAUUAGUUAUUAAUCCAAUUAAGACGGAUGAGAUGGACAGGCCAUGAAGCAUGGGAGAAAUUAUGAUUGCAAAAAUAACACAAAAUUUUAGUAAAAGAAACUGAUGGGACGAGACCAAGGUGUAAAUGGGAAUAUAAUAUUGAGUGCAGCCUGAAUAUGACUCAGGCUAUGAUCAAGAGAUGGACUCUUGUUAGCACAGCAAUGUGCCUGAAGAUUGCAUGCAAGGCAAGGGAUUUCUUGGCUACCUGAGGGUAUAUUAACUUCUCAAUGACUCUUCUCCAUGGUGUGGCAUUAAUUGUUUUAUGUACAAAUUUUAAUUUUUAAUUAUCAAACACUGUCAAAAUUUGUUGUAACAGAAAACCAAACCACAUAUAUUAAACAUCUGUGAACAUAAAACUUAAAUUUGCUUUGAAAUUAAGGAAUAAUGGCAAGUUUUCACACUUUUUAUAACCAUAUAAAUAUUCAUACUUAAUACUGUAAACAGAAAGAUACUUUACAUGCAGCCUGCUGUUCAAAGUAGUCACAACAGAAUACUUCUCCAUUUUUGUCUAAUUUAAUUACUGUUAUACAGAUAGGUUGUAGGUGUCCCUAACUCCUCUCUCCCCAUACUUUACCGUUUGAACAAAUGAAUUAAUUUCCAUGGAACUUGGUAUGAAUAUCAUAUCAUAUGCCAUUUGGGGCCACACAACAUUCAUGCAUUUUACUUUUCCUCUCAUUGAUGCAAUAUGGUAACCAUGCAAAUGUAUGAGUUUGGAGUGACAACAGCAUCAUUUAUUGCAGUCUUAUAAAUUUUGUCUUUUGAUCUUUGAAAAUUAUGACUUUUUUAUAUCAUUUGUAGAAUGUAAACUAAUGAGAUGUCAGUUAAGUUGAAUAUAUAUUUAGCUUGAUGGUGGCAACUAAUAUAUCACUGCCAUGAAUCAUGUGAAAUUUGGUAUGAGAUUCAAUAAUAAACAUAGUUAUAAAUUAUGAAGAUUUUUUCUAUAUAUAAAAAUUGCAGACAUAGCAACACUGUGAUGAAACUUCAGGUACUUAAAUUCUAUAACAGCAAAACUUAUAGGCAAAAAUAGGUUGCUUCGGUAAAUGUAAAGUUGUCCCUGUGCUCAAUUAAGCACCAUGCUAUACAGAUGUGUGGGGAAAUAAAGGUGUAGCUUCAUAUAUUCUUAGCCUCAAAAAUAGAUGAAGGUGAGUGGUCAGCUUCACUCACUGUCCACUUCACUCUCAGGAGGAGACCCUGGUGCCCUCUGGAGGCUAUGUUGAUACCAGAGCUGAUCUGGGUGGGGUGGCAAAGAGAAAAACCUCUGUCUCUGUCAGGAAUUAAGCCUUGUUCAUCUAGCCCAUGGCCUAUCACUACAUAGUACCCUGGCUCCUAGGUCACCAUCUCUUAUUAUUAAUUUGUAAUGUAUUUUAUGAGAUUUGAGGUUUCCACAAGAGCAAAAAUGUGAAUUGUGGUCUUCUGGGUUGUAACACCUUGUUGUCUUAUAAGUUAUCAGCUUUUAAGAGGAACAUGCUGCCUCCAUCUUCAGGGUAGAAUGCCUUAAAGAUUGCCAUUAUUUUUAGUGAUCAAAAGGAUUCCAUACAACAUGAAGCUCUGAUGUGGAGGAGCCCCUCUAAAUGGUCUGUGAAACUGCUUCAUGUGGCACUCUGAGGUAUUAGAACAUUUCACAUUAUGCAGCUCUCAGAUUAACAUAAAACUAUGUAACAGCCGUACCAAAAAUGGUAAUUUUUUAAUAUAAUUACAGUGAAGGUAUAUUAUUUGUAAACCCUGGAAUCUCUCUCCCAUGUUUGUUAUUGCUAAGGGCAACCAAAUUAUUUAACACUUCAAGCAGUGUAAACAGUAAACAGGAUCUGAUAUGAGGUAUGGGUUUAGCUAUGUGGAAAUAGAAGUGUAUUAGGUCAGAACGUGAUCAGACUUGUAAUAGUGAAAUUGUACAUAAAUAAAUAUAUGGUGGUUUA
Molecule: non-coding RNA, 11683 nt
Organism: Zootermopsis nevadensis
Lineage: Eukaryota; Metazoa; Arthropoda; Insecta; Blattodea; Termopsidae
Source: RefSeq, a predicted model, not a curated record